AGGCCACCUUCAGCUUCUAGAGGCUGCACAGAAUUUCCUGCCACAUGGCCCGCUCCAUAGGCAGAUAAAAACAUGGCAGCUUGCUUUCUUAAGGCCAGCAAGAGAGGGAGAGAGUCUGCUAGCAAGAGGUAAUGGUAGAUAAUGUAAUCAAAAGAGUAACCACCAUCAUUUUGCUGUAUUCUAUUGGUUAGAAGGCAGCCAUGGAUUCCACCCACACUCAAGGAAGGGGAUCACACAGCAGCAUGAACACCAGGAGAGAGGAUCAUGAGGCCACCUUACAGUCUGUCUUCCACAAGGACUCAUCACCUAGGGAUAUAUGCCCUUGAAACAAAUGGAAAUAGACUCCCACAGGCUGAGGACAAAAGCACAGGAUCAACUAAGAUGCUAUCCAGGUGAAAGUGGAUGAGGGUAAGUUUGGGAUGGUGGCCAUGGAGAAGGAGAAGCCAUGUUCUGAAUAUAUUUUGAAAGCCGGGCCAACGUGAUUUGUUACAGGUUGGAUGUAGAACAUGAGGAAAAAUGAGGAGUCAAGGUUUAUCUCAGAUUUUUGUGCUGAACAACUGGAAGGAUGGAGUUGCCGUUAUCUGAGGUGGGGAAGAUUGAGGGAGAAUAUCAGGGGCCCUGUUUUGGAUACAUUUGAGCUGCCAGCCAUUUGAUGGCAGAUAAGUUAUGCUACGUACACUCAACCCUGGAAGGAGGAGUGAUUCAUCUUUAAUGGAACUGCCAUCUAUACCAGAUUUGGGUUUGCAUUCCACACCUGCAGCACAUCUGCAAGCAUUACUGCUUGAGCGCUGAGUGCUUCAUUUAUAGGCAUCAGAUUCCAGAUUCCACGGUAUUGCCUCAGAGGACCCAUUUAUGGCAAAGGAAGUAUGAGAUACAGUGGUUCUCCUUAUACUUCCCAUUACCUGGAAGCAGUAAGAAUGUUGGAAUGACAUAGUAAAGGUUCCAAAAGGGUGUGAGCUUGGGGAUGCUGUCUUUCAGGAUGGAGUCUAUGCACUGAGCUACUGGCUGAUAUAGAGUGUUGUGUCUCUGACAGUCAGACUUCAUGGGUCCAAGAAUUAAGGGGUAAAAGAAGGAUUGGCCCUUUCAACAUCACUCACAGUGACUCACCAAUCUUGCAAGUCUAAGCUCCAAUGGAUAGAAAAUUCUUGUUCUCAGCAGAACAUUGCUUCAACCUGGGCACAGUAAGAUGUCCAUGGAAACUAAAGCAAGUCUGAAGCCUGGACAAUUUGGUCUCUUCAAGAGGAGAUAACAGCAGGCAAAAGAAGUUUCUAUAUGAACAUGGGAAAUCAAUUCUAUUAUCAUGAACAGCUACUUAUUGUUCCUGCUACUAUGCAACCUGGAGGACCAUAUCUGGAACCCAGGGAAUUCAUGGGGGCAUCUCAUAAGUGCUCCAGGAUGGGUGAAUCUGUGAAAAAGUCGACCCAAUGUGGACAUAAGUAGAGCUGAGAUCUGCAAGAGAUUGGCCAGCAGACAUGGGCGGUGCCCCACAUCAUGCCCUGCCACCCACCCUGAUUUCAGCAGCAGCAGUCUCAUGCUCAGAUGUCUCUGCUUGGGGAAACCAUGUUGUGAGCAAACCAACAGUGGGGGCCGUGUGGAGAGGAAGCCUCCUGCCAACGCCUUGCAAGUGAGCUUGCAAGUGGAUCCUCCAGCCCGAUGUCAAGAAUUCAGAGAGUAUGGCCUCAGCCAACAGCCUGAGAAACCCUGGCCCAGACCAUCCAGCCGGGUCAUCGCAGAUUCCCAACCCUCAGACAG
Molecule: long non-coding RNA, 1752 nt
Filed under: Homo sapiens (human)
Lineage: Eukaryota; Metazoa; Chordata; Mammalia; Primates; Hominidae
Description: HSALNT0392827
Source: RNAcentral